CAGUCGCCGCGGUAAUACGAAGGGUGCAAGCGUUACUCGGAAUUACUGGGCGUAAAGCGUGCGUAGGUGGUGGUUUAAGUCCGUUGUGAAAGCCCUGGGCUCAACCUGGGAAUUGCAGUGGAUACUGGGUCACUAGAGUGUGGUAGAGGAUAGUGGAAUUUCCGGUGUAGCAGUGAAAUGCGUAGAGAUCGGGAGGAACAUCAGUGGCGAAGGCGGCCAUCUGGGACAACACUGACGCUGAGGCACGAAAGCGUGGGGAGCAAACAGGAUUAGAUACCCGCGUAGUCCCUGUCUCUUAUAC
This 301-nucleotide ribosomal RNA is filed under the name uncultured bacterium. RNAcentral describes it as "partial 16S ribosomal RNA". It matches the Rfam family "Bacterial small subunit ribosomal RNA", at positions 509 to 807 of the family's 1533-position model. The record is from RNAcentral.